UGCACAUAAAUGUUCUUAGCAGCUUUAUUUUUAAUAGGCCCAAACUAGAAACAACCCAAACGUCCAUCAGCUGGUGAAUGGAUAAACAAAUACAAUGGAAUUGUAUUCAGCACAACAUGGAUGAAUCUCAAAAACAUUAUGCUGUGAAGGAUCCCAGACUCAAAAUGCUACCUACCUACUGUAUGAUUCCAUUUAUAUGGAACAUACACAACUAAUCCGUAGUGGUUCUCUUUGUAGGAUGAGGUGAGGGUGAAUUUGACUGAGAAGGGGCAUGAGAGAAGUUUCUGAGAAUGAUGGUAGUGUUUAAUAUCUUGACAGGGGUUUGGGUUAUACAGGUGUAUGCCUUUGUCAAAAUUCAGCAAAUAUUCCCUUAAGACUGUGUAUUUCAGGCCAGGCGCGGUGGCUUAUGCCUGUAAUCCCAGCACUUUGGGAGGCCAAGGUGGGCAGAUCACCUGAGAUCUGCAGUUUGAGACCAGCCUGGCCAACAUGGCAAAACCCCAUCUCUACUGAAAAUACAAACAUUAGCCAGGCGUGGCAGCGUGCGCCUGUAAUCCCAGCUACUCAGGAAGCUGAGGCAGGAGAAUUGCUUGAACCCAGGAGGCGGAGGUUGCAGUGAGCAGAGAUAGUGCCACUGCACUCCAGCCUGGGCAGCAGAGCAAAACUCUG
Molecule: long non-coding RNA, 666 nt
Filed under: Homo sapiens (human)
Lineage: Eukaryota; Metazoa; Chordata; Mammalia; Primates; Hominidae
Description: HSALNT0408096
Source: RNAcentral